Long non-coding RNA from Mastomys coucha (southern multimammate mouse), 535 nucleotides. RefSeq lists it as uncharacterized. The record is from RefSeq and is a predicted model, not a curated record. The transcript has 4 exons. NCBI's taxonomy places the organism in Eukaryota, Metazoa, Chordata, Mammalia, Rodentia, Muridae.
GGCUUCUAGAAUGGGACUCAAGAUGGCAACAGAAGUUAGAAUGUAUCUGAGAAAGAACUAGAAGCCUCUGAGACUUUGUCUUCUUACUUGGCAGCUAAAAGGACAGUGAAGAGUCACAGAGAAUGGUUGGCAGCAGAGGCUGUGGAGUCUAUGAAGGACAUUUAAAGAGUAUGAAGACUAGUGAUCCUCUUCCUUAUUUCACGAUUCCUAUGCAGUAGCUCUGGGUUUGGGAGGACAAUCCAUGGGAACAGCUCACUCUGAAGAGAGGAUCCCAAGUAUAUGAAUACUGGGCUAAAGAACACUCACCACACAUCCUGAGGAGUCUACCUGGCGGUCAGACACACACUUGAAGUUACGGGUACAGCCCCCAUUGUUCCUUGAGCAGUCACGGACUGGACCAAAGGAAGACAGCAGGACUCACAAGACCAAGGACAGUUCCUGCCAAGAUCCAAGGGUGAGCCCUGAAGUUCACAGGGGUGAAAGGAGAGAGUAAGGUGGACUACUGAAAAUUGUCCUGACUUCCUCAUGCAUGCAG